This 249-nucleotide ribosomal RNA is filed under the name uncultured bacterium. RNAcentral describes it as "partial 16S ribosomal RNA". It matches the Rfam family "Bacterial small subunit ribosomal RNA", at positions 524 to 776 of the family's 1533-position model. The record is from RNAcentral.
UACGGGGGAGCAAGCGUUGUUCGGAUUUACUGGCGUAAAGGGCGCGUAGGCGGCCUUCUAAGUCGAACGUGAAAUCCCCGGCUCAACCCGGGAACUGCGUCCGAUACUGGAAGGCUUGAAUCCGGGAGAGGGAUGCGGAAUUCCAGGUGUAGCGGUGAAAUGCGUAGAUAUCGAGAGGAACACCUGCGGCGAAGGCGGGUUGCUGGGCUGAUACUGACGCUGAGGCGCGAAAGCCAGGGAGCGAACGGG